RNAcentral lists this ribosomal RNA (253 nucleotides) under uncultured Helicobacteraceae bacterium. Its description in RNAcentral is "partial 16S ribosomal RNA". It matches the Rfam family "Bacterial small subunit ribosomal RNA", at positions 524 to 776 of the family's 1533-position model. The record is from RNAcentral. Lineage: Bacteria; Pseudomonadati; Campylobacterota; Epsilonproteobacteria; Campylobacterales; Helicobacteraceae.
UACGUAGGUGGCAAGCGUUAUCCGGAUUUAUUGGGCGUAAAGCGAGCGCAGGCGGUUGCUUAGGUCUGAUGUGAAAGCCUUCGGCUUAACCAUAGAACUGCAUUUGAAACUGUUAUUCUAGAGUAUGGGAGAGGUAGGUGGAAUUCUUGGUGUAGGGGUAAAAUCCGUAGAGAUCAAGAGGAAUACUCAUUGCGAAGGCGACCUGCUAGAACAUAACUGACGCUGAUGCGCGAAAGCGUGGGGAGCAAACAGG